AUUGAACGCUGGCGGCAGGCUUAACACAUGCAAGUCGAGCGGGGUGAUGGUGCUUGCACUAUCACUUAGCGGCGGACGGGUGAGUAAUGCUUAGGAAUCUGCCUAUUAGUGGGGGACAACAUCUCGAAAGGGAUGCUAAUACCGCAUACGUCCUACGGGAGAAAGCAGGGGAUCACUUGUGACCUUGCGCUAAUAGAUGAGCCUAAGUCGGAUUAGCUAGUUGGUGGGGUAAAGGCCUAACAAGGCGACGAUCUGUAGCGGGUCUGAGAGGAUGAUCCGCCACACUGGGACUGAGACACGGCCCAGACUCCUACGGGAGGCAGCAGUGGGGAAUAUUGGACAAUGGGGGGAACCCUGAUCCAGCCAUGCCGCGUGUGUGAAGAGGGCCUUAUGGUUGUAAAGCACUUUAAGCGAGGAGGAGGCUCUUUUGGUUAAUACCCAAGAUGAGUGGACGUUACUCGCAGAAUAAGCACCGGCUAACUCUGUGCCAGCCGCCGCGGUAA
This 503-nucleotide ribosomal RNA is filed under the name uncultured bacterium. Its description in RNAcentral is "partial 16S ribosomal RNA". It matches the Rfam family "Bacterial small subunit ribosomal RNA", at positions 30 to 523 of the family's 1533-position model. The record is from RNAcentral.